CAGUAGCCGCGGUAAUACGGAGGGGGCUAGCGUUGUUCGGAAUUGCUGGGCGUAAAGCGUACGUAGGCGGCUUUGUGAGUUAGAGGUGAAAGCCUGGUGCUCAACACCAGAACUGCCUUUAAGACUGCAUCGCUUGAACGUCGGAGAGGUGAGUGGAGUUCCGAGUGUAGAGGUGAAAUUCGUAGAUAUUCGGAAGAACACCAGUGGCAAAGGCGGCUCACUGGACGACUGUUGACGCUGAGGUACGAAAGCGUGGGGAGCAAACAGGAUUAGAUACCCGAGUAGUCCCUGUCUCUUAUAC
RNAcentral lists this ribosomal RNA (301 nucleotides) under uncultured bacterium. RNAcentral describes it as "partial 16S ribosomal RNA". It matches the Rfam family "Bacterial small subunit ribosomal RNA", at positions 509 to 807 of the family's 1533-position model. The record is from RNAcentral.